RNAcentral lists this long non-coding RNA (395 nucleotides) under Helianthus annuus (common sunflower). RNAcentral's name for it is "sRNA HanXRQr2_Chr16g0764641". Lineage: Eukaryota; Viridiplantae; Streptophyta; Magnoliopsida; Asterales; Asteraceae. The record is from RNAcentral.
UCUGAACCCAAACUUGAACCGUUGACCCGAAACGAGACCCGACUGAGUUGACCCGAGUUGGCUCAGUGAGUUGACCGGGUCUGACCCGGGUUGACCGAACCGAGACUGAGUUGUCCUGUGAUGUUCUUUUGGUCUUGGUAUAUGGAUUGGUUAACCGAGUUAUAACCAGACGAACCGAACCCACCGCGAACCCGAACCAACCACAUCUGAAGAGAACCUCAACCAAACCAAGCACCACCACUAACCGCCGCUGCCAUACGGUUAUCGAAACCGGCUGCCGUAGACUUCACCGCCACCUUCACUCAGCCACAACCACCCUGAAACAACACCCCACUAACCGGAGAACUUGGGUAUGUAAAAAAAACAAAAACAUAAGAAGAUAAAGGGAAUCGUGG